GACGAACGCUGGCGGCGUGCCUAAUACAUGCAAGUAGAACGCUGAAGGAGGAGCUUGCUUCUCUGGAUGAGUUGCGAACGGGGGAGUAACGCGUAGGCAACCUGCCUGGCAUCGGGGGAUAACUAUUGGAAACGAUAGCUAAUAUCGCAUAAUAGCAGAUGUUGCAUGACAACCGUUUGAAAUGUGCAAUUGCACCGCUACCAGAUGGACAUGCGUUAUAUUAGAUAUUUGGUGGGGUAACAGCUCACCAAGGCGACGGUACAUAGCCGGACUUAGAGGGUGGUCGACCGAAGUGGGAAUGGAGCCCGGCCCCGGAUCCUACGGGAGGCAGGAGUAGGGGAACAUCGGCCAUGGAGGGCAAUCUGAACGCGGAAAGCCGCGUGAGGGAAAGAGGUCUUCGGAUCGUAAAAAUCUUUUUUAUGGGAAGGACAAGUAGGAGGGUAAAAAGUUCACGCUGUGACGGUAUCUUAAGAGUAAGGGACGGCUAACUACGUG
RNAcentral lists this ribosomal RNA (495 nucleotides) under uncultured bacterium. RNAcentral describes it as "partial 16S ribosomal RNA". It matches the Rfam family "Bacterial small subunit ribosomal RNA", at positions 28 to 507 of the family's 1533-position model. The record is from RNAcentral.